This 92-nucleotide transfer RNA is filed under the name Johnsonella ignava ATCC 51276. Its description in RNAcentral is "Selenocysteine transfer RNA". It matches the Rfam family "Selenocysteine transfer RNA". The record is from Rfam by way of RNAcentral. Lineage: Bacteria; Bacillati; Bacillota; Clostridia; Lachnospirales; Lachnospiraceae.
GGAGGGUGAUGGGUGCUGGUGUGCCCCGCAGUCUUCAAAACUGUUGUGUGGGGUUAGGAGCCUCACGGGUGGGUUCGAUUCCUACCACCUCC